UACGUAGGGUGCAAGCGUUAGUCGGAAUUACUGGGCGUAAAGCGUGCGCAGGCGGUGAUGUAAGACAGUUGUGAAAUCCCCGGGCUCAACCUGGGAACUGCAUCUGUGACUGCAUCGCUGGAGUGCGGCAGAGGGGGAUGGAAUUCCGCGUGUAGCAGUGAAAUGCGUAGAUAUGCGGAGGAACACCGAUGGCGAAGGCAAUCCCCUGGGCCUGCACUGACGCUCAUGCACGAAAGCGUGGGGAGCAAACAGG
This 253-nucleotide ribosomal RNA is filed under the name uncultured bacterium. Its description in RNAcentral is "partial 16S ribosomal RNA". It matches the Rfam family "Bacterial small subunit ribosomal RNA", at positions 524 to 776 of the family's 1533-position model. The record is from RNAcentral.